RNAcentral lists this ribosomal RNA (500 nucleotides) under uncultured bacterium. Its description in RNAcentral is "partial 16S ribosomal RNA". It matches the Rfam family "Bacterial small subunit ribosomal RNA", at positions 30 to 523 of the family's 1533-position model. The record is from RNAcentral.
AUUGAACGCUGGCGGCAUGCCUUACACAUGCAAGUCGAACGGCAGCACGGGAGCAAUCCUGGUGGCGAGUGGCGAACGGGUGAGUAAUAUAUCGGAACGUGCCCAGUCGGGGGGGAUAACGUAGCGAAAGCUACGCUAAUACCGCAUACGAUCUAUGGAUGAAAGCGGGGGAUCGCAAGACCUCGCGCGAUUGGAGCGGCCGAUAUCAGAUUAGGUAGUUGGUGAGGUAAAGGCUCACCAAGCCGACGAUCUGUAGCUGGUCUGAGAGGACGACCAGCCACACGGGGACUGAGACACGGCCCAGACUCCUACGGGAGGCAGCAGUGGGGAAUUUUGGACAAUGGGCGCAAGCCUGAUCCAGCAAUGCCGCGUGCAGGAUGAAGGCCUUCGGGUUGUAAACUGCUUUUGUACGGAACGAAACGGCGAGCUCUAAUACAGUUUGCUAAUGACGGUACCGUAAGAAUAAGCACCGGCUAACUACGUGCCAGCCGCCGCAGUAA